This 448-nucleotide ribosomal RNA is filed under the name uncultured bacterium. Its description in RNAcentral is "bacterial SSU rRNA". It matches the Rfam family "Bacterial small subunit ribosomal RNA", at positions 331 to 793 of the family's 1533-position model. The record is from RNAcentral.
CCAGACUCCUACGGGAGGCAGCAGUGGGGAAUAUUGCGCAAUGGGGGCAACCCUGACGCAGCAACGCCGCGUGAUUGAAGAAGGCCUUCGGGUUGUAAAGAUCUUUAAUCAGGGACGAAAAAUGACGGUACCCGAAGAAUAAGCUCCGGCUAACUACGUGCCGGCAGCCGCGGUAAUACGUAGGGAGCAAGCGUUAUCCGGAUUUACUGGGUGUAAAGGGCGUGUAGGCGGGCUUGUAAGUCAGAAGUGAAAUCUGGGGGCUUAACCCCCAAACUGCUUUUGAAACUGCGGGUCUUGAGUGAUGGAGAGGCAGGCGGAAUUCCCAGUGUAGCGGUGAAAUGCUUAGAUAUUGCGCAGAACUCCGAUUGCGAAGGCAGCAUACCGGCGGCGAUCUGACGCUGAGGCACGAAAGCGUGGGUAUCGAACAGGAUUAGAUACCCCAGUAUAG